Molecule: long non-coding RNA, 218 nt
Organism: Portunus trituberculatus (swimming crab)
Lineage: Eukaryota; Metazoa; Arthropoda; Malacostraca; Decapoda; Portunidae
Exons: 3
Source: RefSeq, a predicted model, not a curated record
UGCACCAGCUGGGACACACCUAGCCAACUAGGUGCACCAUGGCUUGCCACAAGGUCACAACUGGUCCCUGGAGAGCCGCUGGUGGUGACGGGCUGCCUGUGCCCUCUCUGCGGCAAACCUCCACAAAUACUCCACUCACCAAGUUCCAGAGGGAGAGGAUCACCGGCCGUACUAAAGGAAGUGGCUCUAUGUAGGGAUGGAACAUGGCAACUGCACCA